UACGGAGGGGGCUAGCGUUGUUCGGAAUUACUGGGCGUAAAGCGCACGUAGGCGGCUUUGUAAGUUAGAGGUGAAAGCCCGGGGCUCAACUCCGGAAUUGCCUUUAAGACUGCAUCGCUAGAAUUGUGGAGAGGUAAGUGGAAUUCCGAGUGUAGAGGUGAAAUUCGUAGAUAUUCGGAAGAACACCAGUGGCGAAGGCGACUCACUGGCCCGAUACUGACGCUGAGGCGCGAAAGCGUGGGGAGCAAACAGG
RNAcentral lists this ribosomal RNA (253 nucleotides) under uncultured bacterium. RNAcentral's name for it is "partial 16S ribosomal RNA". It matches the Rfam family "Bacterial small subunit ribosomal RNA", at positions 524 to 776 of the family's 1533-position model. The record is from RNAcentral.